RNAcentral lists this non-coding RNA (30 nucleotides) under Rattus norvegicus (Norway rat). The record is from RNAcentral. Lineage: Eukaryota; Metazoa; Chordata; Mammalia; Rodentia; Muridae.
UAAGAGAAAUCAUAUGAUGUUGAUUUUGAA